UGAAACAUCAUUGUCUUCUAGAACACCAGUACUCAAAUACUCAUCAUCUUCACUAUCCCAGGACAACUGUGCAAUUGGAAUGCCUCGAAUUGCACUAUCAAUAACUCCAGUACCCUCAAGGGAAAUAUCUUUAUCAGACCCAUUCAUCGACUCAUCCACAACAAAAGGAGUAUCACUAAAUUCACCAUGUCCUUCAUCAAUUUCCCUA
RNAcentral lists this unclassified non-coding RNA (208 nucleotides) under Hevea brasiliensis (rubber tree). The record is from RNAcentral. Lineage: Eukaryota; Viridiplantae; Streptophyta; Magnoliopsida; Malpighiales; Euphorbiaceae.